RNAcentral lists this transfer RNA (76 nucleotides) under Chloroflexota bacterium. RNAcentral's name for it is "Chloroflexi bacterium (groundwater metagenome) tRNA-Ala". It matches the Rfam family "tRNA". Rfam says of the family: Transfer RNA (tRNA) molecules are approximately 80 nucleotides in length. Lineage: Bacteria; Bacillati; Chloroflexota. The record is from RNAcentral.
GGGCCUAUAGCUCAGCUGGGAGAGCGCUUCAAUGGCAUUGAAGAGGUCAGGGGUUCGAAUCCCCUUAGGUCCACCA